UACAGAGGUCUCAAGCGUUGUUCGGAAUUACUGGGCGUAAAGGGUGCGCAGGCCGCGCGGGCAGUCAAAUGUGUAAUUCAGAGGCUCAACCUCUGGACUGCGCUUGAUACUUCCGCGCUCGAGCUUUGGAGAGGAGUCUGGAAUUCUCGGUGUAGCAGUGAAAUGCGUGGAUAUCGAGAAGAACACCUAGGGCGAAAGCAAGACUCUGGACAAAUGCUGACGCUCAUGCACGAAGGCUAGGGGAGCGAACGGG
RNAcentral lists this ribosomal RNA (253 nucleotides) under uncultured bacterium. Its description in RNAcentral is "partial 16S ribosomal RNA". It matches the Rfam family "Bacterial small subunit ribosomal RNA", at positions 524 to 776 of the family's 1533-position model. The record is from RNAcentral.